RNAcentral lists this ribosomal RNA (425 nucleotides) under Rhodococcus sp. (in: high G+C Gram-positive bacteria). RNAcentral describes it as "bacterial SSU rRNA". It matches the Rfam family "Bacterial small subunit ribosomal RNA", at positions 338 to 775 of the family's 1533-position model. Lineage: Bacteria; Bacillati; Actinomycetota; Actinomycetes; Mycobacteriales; Nocardiaceae. The record is from RNAcentral.
CCUACGGGGGGCAGCAGUGGGGAAUAUUGCACAAUGGGCGCAAGCCUGAUGCAGCGACGCCGCGUGAGGGAUGACGGCCUUCGGGUUGUAAACCUCUUUCAGUACCGACGAAGCGCAAGUGACGGUAGGUACAGAAGAAGCACCGGCCAACUACGUGCCAGCAGCCGCGGUAAUACGUAGGGUGCGAGCGUUGUCCGGAAUUACUGGGCGUAAAGAGCUCGUAGGCGGUUUGUCGCGUCGUCUGUGAAAACCCGCAGCUCAACUGCGGGCUUGCAGGCGAUACGGGCAGACUUGAGUACUGCAGGGGAGACUGGAAUUCCUGGUGUAGCGGUGAAAUGCGCAGAUAUCAGGAGGAACACCGGUGGCGAAGGCGGGUCUCUGGGCAGUAACUGACGCUGAGGAGCGAAAGCGUGGGUAGCGAACAG